CACGUAGGGCGCGAGCGUUGUCCGGAAUUAUUGGGCGUAAAGAGCUCGUAGGCGGCCUGUUGCGUCCGCUGUGAAAGCCCGGGGCUUAACCCCGGGUCUGCAGUGGAUACGGGCAGGCUAGAGGUAGGUAGGGGAGAAUGGAAUUCCCGGUGUAGCGGUGAAAUGCGCAGAUAUCGGGAGGAACACCGGUGGCGAAGGCGGUUCUCUGGGCAGUAACUGACGCUGAGGAGCGAAAGCGUGGGGAGCGAACAGG
RNAcentral lists this ribosomal RNA (253 nucleotides) under uncultured bacterium. Its description in RNAcentral is "partial 16S ribosomal RNA". It matches the Rfam family "Bacterial small subunit ribosomal RNA", at positions 524 to 776 of the family's 1533-position model. The record is from RNAcentral.